CGUGUUAAAUGAAUUACGUUGCAUUUCGCUGCGGCUUAUCGGACGAACGCAAUUUUAACUUCUAAUAUCUUACUUUUCUGACGUACCAAGGUGACAUUGAGUAUACUAAAUGGCACGGUGUAUCUUUCAUAAGAUCAGUCGAUGCUACUGGAUAUUCUCUACAAAAAAAGUAUUAACCUAUUUAUACCGAGAAGCCAUUAAUUUAGCGGAUGAUUUUAAUCUUAGCCUGUCAAAUUGAACGUAUAGAGGACAAAACAACACAAACACAAGAAUAUCGUCUCGCGUCUCUUCUUAUCUUUCAAUGUCCAGCUGGAUCGACUAAAAUAUAUUCUCUGUUACCAAAAAUAUACCGUGCCAUUUAGAAAACCCCAAGUCACCUUGAUACCUCAGAAAAUACAAGAUAGAAAUUAAAAUCGCCGCGAUAGUUACCUUGAGCGAUAUUCCGCCUAUCCACUCACCC
Molecule: unclassified non-coding RNA, 460 nt
Filed under: Bombus terrestris (buff-tailed bumblebee)
Lineage: Eukaryota; Metazoa; Arthropoda; Insecta; Hymenoptera; Apidae
Description: misc RNA ENSBTSG00005030603.1
Source: RNAcentral